GAUCCUGGCUUAGGAUGAACGCUGGCGGCGUGCCUAAUACAUGCAAGUCGAACGAGAGUGCUUGCACUCUAGUGGCGAACGGGUGAGUAACACGUAGGUAACCUGCCUUACAGUUGGGAUACCCUGGCGAAAGCUAGGCUAAUACCGAAUAAUUGGAUUGGAGGCAUCUCCGAUCUCUAAAAGGGGCCUUUAAAGCCUCGCUGAAUGAUGGACCUGCGGCGCAUUAGCUAGUUGGUGAGAUAACAGCCCACCAAGGCGAGGAUGCGUAGCCGACCUGAGAGGGUGAACGGCCACACUGGAACUGAGACACGGUCCAGACUCCUACGGGAGGCAGCAGUAGGGAGUUUUCGGCAAUGGGGGCAACCCUGACCGAGCAACGCCGCGUGAAAUGAUGAAGGUCUUCGGCUCGUAAAGUUCUUUUGCAGUUGACGAAUGUACUAUUGGAUAGUAAGAGACGGUAAACUGCGAAUAAGCCACGGCUAACUACGUGCCAGCCGCAGC
Molecule: ribosomal RNA, 501 nt
Filed under: uncultured bacterium
Lineage: Bacteria
Description: bacterial SSU rRNA
Rfam family: Bacterial small subunit ribosomal RNA
Source: RNAcentral